Molecule: ribosomal RNA, 372 nt
Filed under: uncultured organism
Description: bacterial SSU rRNA
Rfam family: Bacterial small subunit ribosomal RNA
Source: RNAcentral
CGAAGGGUGCAAGCGUUAGUCGGAAUUACUGGGCGUAAAGCGUGCGUAGGCGGUUUUCUAAGUCUGCCGUGAAAGCCCCGGGCUCAACCUGGGAAUGGCGGUGGAUACUGGAAAGCUGGAGUGCGGUAGAGGAGGGUGGAAUUCCCGGUGUAGCGGUGAAACGCGUAGAGAUCGGGAGGAACAUCAGUGGCGAAGGCGGCCCUCUGGACCAGCACUGACGCUGAGGCACGAAAGCGUGGGGAGCAAACAGGAUUAGAUACCCUGGUAGUCCACGCCCUAAACGAUGCGAACUGGACGUUGGGCACAACUCGGUGCUCAGUGUCGAAGCUAACGCGUUAAGUUCGCCGCCUGGGGAGUACGCUCGCAAGAGUG